Molecule: transfer RNA, 85 nt
Filed under: Felis catus (domestic cat)
Lineage: Eukaryota; Metazoa; Chordata; Mammalia; Carnivora; Felidae
Rfam family: tRNA
About the family: Transfer RNA (tRNA) molecules are approximately 80 nucleotides in length.
Source: Rfam by way of RNAcentral
GCCUGGGUGGCUCAGUCGGUUAAGCAUCUGACUUCGGUUCAGGUUAUGAUCUCGCUGUUUGUGAGUUCAAGCCCCACAUCAGGCU